This 497-nucleotide ribosomal RNA is filed under the name uncultured bacterium. Its description in RNAcentral is "partial 16S ribosomal RNA". It matches the Rfam family "Bacterial small subunit ribosomal RNA", at positions 28 to 507 of the family's 1533-position model. The record is from RNAcentral.
GAUGAACGCUGGCGGCGUGCCUAAUACAUGCAAGUCGAGCGAACGUACGAGAAGCUUGCUUCUCUGAUGUUAGCGGCGGACGGGUGAGUAACACGUGACUAACCUACCUAUAAGACUGGGAUAACUUCGGGAAACCGGAGCUAAUACCGGAUGAUAUUUUUAACCGCAUGGUUCAAAAGUGAAAGACGGUCUUGCUGUCACUUAUAGAUGGUUCCGCGCUGCAUUAGCUAGUUGGUAAGGUAACGGCUUACCAAGGCAACGAUGCAUAGCCGACCUGAGAGGGUGAUCGGCCACACUGGAACUGAGACACGGUCCAGACUCCUACGGGAGGCAGCAGUAGGGAAUCUUCCGCAAUGGGCGAAAGCCUGACGGAGCAACGCCGCGUGAGUGAUGAAGGUCUUCGGAUCGUAAAACUCUGUUAUUAGGGAAGAACAUAUGUGUAAGUAACUGUGCACAUCUUGACGGUACCUAAUCAGAAAGCCACGGCUAACUACGUG